RNAcentral lists this ribosomal RNA (253 nucleotides) under uncultured bacterium. RNAcentral's name for it is "partial 16S ribosomal RNA". It matches the Rfam family "Bacterial small subunit ribosomal RNA", at positions 524 to 776 of the family's 1533-position model. The record is from RNAcentral.
UACGAAGGGGGCUAGCGUUGCUCGGAAUCACUGGGCGUAAAGCGCACGUAGGCGGGUCCUUAAGUCAGGGGUGAAAUCCCGGAGCUCAGCUCCGGAACUGCCUUUGAUACUGGGGAUCUUGAGUCCGGAAGAGGUGAGUGGAACUCCGAGUGUAGAGGUGAAAUUCGUAGAUAUUCGGAAGAACACCAGUGGCGAAGGCGGCUCACUGGUCCGGUACUGACGCUGAGGUGCGAAAGCGUGGGGAGCAAACAGG